This 67-nucleotide transfer RNA is filed under the name Ornithodoros turicata. Its description in RNAcentral is "tRNA-Val". RNAcentral also lists the same sequence under 1 other name. Lineage: Eukaryota; Metazoa; Arthropoda; Arachnida; Ixodida; Argasidae. The record is from RNAcentral.
UUAGGAUGUAAUCAUUAAUUGAUAUUUCGCUUACAAUGAAAAAGUGCUUUAUUUAAGCCGUUCUAAG